This is a long non-coding RNA of Trichomycterus rosablanca, 2381 nucleotides long. RefSeq lists it as uncharacterized. The transcript has 6 exons. The record is from RefSeq and is a predicted model, not a curated record. Lineage: Eukaryota; Metazoa; Chordata; Actinopteri; Siluriformes; Trichomycteridae.
UUUAAACUGGUUUGGUCUGAGCUGACUUUCAUUCAUGCGAAUGCUGAUGGAAACUGUGGUGUGUAACCAUGGCAACUUCAUCUCUGAAGUUGCUUAGCAACUUGUGUAGGUGUGAUGUGCGUUUAAGAAAGUAAGCUAGUGGCACACACACACACACACACACACAUACACACACACACACACUGAUUAUAAAUACUCUCAUUAUUUUGUUCACCCAUCGUACCAUAUACGCUGCCUUUCUGUUUGGAUCCUGCAUUUCCUUAUAUGGUCAUUGCUUCCUGUUUGUGCUGCCCAUAUUUUUCAUAUCUAAUCAAACCAAUCGAGUCCUUUUCAUGCACGUAAACCUGUAUUAGCGAUUAAUAACAAGCCAUUAUAACAGGAAAUGCUGCCCAUAUAAAGAAAGCGAGGACACAACACCAGAUAGAGUAUAGCGGGUGAAGCCGGAUAAGAUAAGAGUGGCCGGUCAGUAAGUGUGUUUGUGAGGGAUGCAUGUUAAUACUGGAUUAUUUGGGUUACUGGGGAUCUGGAUAUGACGAACUCUGAACAUAAACACCAGAACAGAUCUGGGUGUUGGGUGGUGUAGCGGUAAAUGACGCACACCACUAGCAGGGUUCGAAUCCCCAUGGCUGCUAUCAACCAGUCGGGCGUCUGAUUGGCUGUGUCUGAAGGGGGUGGCCAGGGCAGGAGUGUAUUUAGAGACGAUCCAUAGGAUCCUGUCGCUGUGUGCCAACACUGCCUUGCCACUGUGCCCCCCCACCUCGUCCCUCAAAGUGGCAUCACAACACAACACCCCACAUUCAACAACAAGAUCCAUUGUGCGAAUGUGUGUGUGUGUGUGUGUGUGUGUCACAGUACGGUCACGAGGAGUGAAAUCUCCUCCAUCACCACCGCAAGUGGCACACACACACACACACACUAAAACACUUGUUCUCACACACACUCUUUGAUACAUCUUAAAUCAGCUGGUAACCAAUCAUAUCAUAUCUGAACUCCCCCCCCAUACACACACACACACACCUGUACAUAACAAUACAGCUGUAUAUAGUGACACACACACACACACACACAGAGCAGGCCUACCUGUGUGCGUGGCACCUGUGGAAACAGGUUGAGGGUGGUGGGCCGUUUGGGCCGGUACGUGUCCAUGGUGUGUGUGGUGUGUUUAUCCCUGUUGCGUGUAUCCUUGGUACGAGUAUCUGUGUUGUGCGUAUCCCUGGAGUGUGUUGCGGCGGAUUGUGUAUCACCGGUGUGAGCUCCCUCUGCUUCGUCAAUCAGCUCCAAGUGAAGCAUCUCCGAGCGGACACGCCCCACAGCUCCCAGCUCCACACUCCGAGCCAUUCUGUUGGACGGCCGUGUCACGUGACCCUGCCGUUAUUGGAGGAGAAGACAGAGGCAGAGUCAGCGCAGGCGUACAGUCCUCAUCCUCAAACUCAUCCAGACUGAUGUCAUGGGUCAGCCUAAAAAAUACAGAAACACUGUCAGCUAAACUCCUGUUGUACUGGUUUAUAACGGGAAACCAGUAAAGCACCGACGUUCUCAGGAUCAUUUGUGACGUUAGGCUCUGACAUUGGAUAAGAAGUCGAUGGAUUGGCGUCUUGUCCGGGUAUCAGAUGGUACACGUACCCGGAGGCACAGAGUCACAUACAGCGUAAUGAAAUUCACCCCAAUACACGACGACCUAGAUGUGGAACCGGCGCUACAGGAACAGUAAACGUGUCGCUGAGGAUGCUGUACAGUGCAAUAACUCAGGACGGCCAGAGCCAGCAGACAAGAUAAUGACUUUUCAUCAACAUGAAGACAGAAUCCUGAUUUCUAAGAGCAGAAAGAAAAGCCGCACGUCUCACCGCAAAGCCGCAAACUGAUCCGCUUUCUUCAUCAGCACAAUCUCAGCAUGAAAGUUCAAUUCCUACCUGAAAUGGCCAGACUGGGAACACUGGGCAGAGUGGGCUGGGUUCGAGCCUUUCCUCUUCUCUCUCUCCGCCAUGUCUCCUUCUCCUCCCUCCUGUUUCCCUUCAUCAGCAGGUUGAGGAGCAGCACCGGAGCAGGAACAGGGAGGAGAAGGUGGUGCUGAUGGAGGAGGUGGUGCUGAUGGAGGUGGAGGAGGUGAUGGAGGUGUAUGUGGUGGUGCUGAUGAUGCUCAGAUCCACAAUUACGUUCACGAAACCAAAAAAUACCCACGUACAGCUGGGUACUGACUGCUUUAUACCAACGCCAGCUGAUGGUGUGGCAUCAGUGCCACACCUUUAGAUUUCAGCUUGAGAACAAGAGAAUGGAAAAUAUUCGUUAUAUUAAUUCUAAUCUGUCAUUCUUACUAGAAUUUGUACUAAUUAUUUUAUUGUAAUAUUCACACUAAUAUUUCUAGUACUUAAAUAUAUAUAUAU